Molecule: long non-coding RNA, 630 nt
Organism: Hypomesus transpacificus
Lineage: Eukaryota; Metazoa; Chordata; Actinopteri; Osmeriformes; Osmeridae
Exons: 4
Source: RefSeq, a predicted model, not a curated record
ACCACACACACUCCACCACUGAAUCCAGACCUCCUUUCUCCUUCUUCAGUUCCUGAUGAGGAGCAGGGUUGGGAGGCUCGCAGUUUCACUGUCAACAACAACAGAGACCUGACAACAGCGCAACACGGGAACCACGCCCCUGACACUCCCCCGUGCUCUGGUUGGAUCAUUUCUAACCACUAAGGUGAGAACGGCACUCUCUUCUAUCCCUGUGGACACAUCGCUGGAGAAGUCAUAACUCUGCACCCAUUGAUCUCAGGAGAGCAGGUAGGAGAGAGAGGAGAGCAAAGGGGGAGGAGAGGAAAGGAGAGGUGAGGAAAUGAGAACAAGAAGAGGUAAAGGAGAAGAGAGAAGGGGGGACCCCCGGGGAUCAAGAAAUAACUCAACUCACUGCCUCUGAAGGAUGCUGAAGAUACACAUUGCAAACAUGUUUGAAAUGUAAAAAUUGGAAAUGAGCAGAAUUGGGCCUGGCAGGAAUGAGUGCACAUAUAGACACUAAACUAACAACAUUGAUCAAAUAUUCCACUGCUGCUUGAGUAUGCAGAGUGCUUGUACGCUGUCUGUGGUGCUCAUUGCACAACCUUGAUACGAAAACGAAUAUUCAAAUGAAUAAAGUUGUCUUACGCUUAA